GGAAUAUUAGCUCAGUGAUGGAGUGCUUGCCUAGCAUGCAAAAGGCCCUGGGUUCAAUCCCUAGUACCA
This 69-nucleotide transfer RNA is filed under the name Fukomys damarensis (Damara mole-rat). It matches the Rfam family "tRNA". Rfam says of the family: Transfer RNA (tRNA) molecules are approximately 80 nucleotides in length. The record is from Rfam by way of RNAcentral. Lineage: Eukaryota; Metazoa; Chordata; Mammalia; Rodentia; Bathyergidae.